GGUUCCAUAGUGUAGCAGUUAGCAUGUCUGCUUUGCAUGCAGAAGGUCCUGGGUUUGAACCCCAGUGGAGCCA
Molecule: non-coding RNA, 73 nt
Organism: Pteropus alecto (black flying fox)
Lineage: Eukaryota; Metazoa; Chordata; Mammalia; Chiroptera; Pteropodidae
Source: Rfam